Transfer RNA from Hespellia stercorisuis DSM 15480, 71 nucleotides. It matches the Rfam family "tRNA". From Rfam's summary of the family: Transfer RNA (tRNA) molecules are approximately 80 nucleotides in length. Their secondary structure includes four short double-helical elements and three loops (D, anti-codon, and T loops). Further hydrogen bonds mediate the characteristic L-shaped molecular structure. tRNAs have two regions of fundamental functional importance: the anti-codon, which is responsible for specific mRNA codon recognition, and the 3' end, to which the tRNAs corresponding amino acid is attached (by aminoacyl-tRNA synthetases). tRNAs cope with the degeneracy of the genetic code in two manners: having more than one tRNA (with a specific anti-codon) for a particular amino acid; and 'wobble' base-pairing, i.e. permitting non-standard base-pairing at the 3rd anti-codon position. Lineage: Bacteria; Bacillati; Bacillota; Clostridia; Lachnospirales; Lachnospiraceae. The record is from Rfam.
GGCGUCAUAGCCAAGUGGUAAGGCAUGGGUCUGCAACACCCUGAUCGGCAGUUCAAAUCUGCCUGACGCCU